RNAcentral lists this ribosomal RNA (216 nucleotides) under Glomeromycotina sp. RNAcentral describes it as "partial small subunit ribosomal RNA". The stretch from base 40 to 216 matches the Rfam family "Eukaryotic small subunit ribosomal RNA", at positions 686 to 864 of the family's 1831-position model. Lineage: Eukaryota; Fungi; Glomeromycota. The record is from RNAcentral.
GGGUCAGUAGGUUGGUCGUGCCACCGGUACGUACUGGUCUCAAUGAUUCCUCCUUCCUGAAGGACCGUAAUGCCAUUAAUUUGGUGUUGCGGGGAAACAGGACUGUUACUUCGAAAAAAUUAGAGUGUUUAAAGCAAGCUAACGCUUGAAUACAUUAGCAUGGAAUAAUGAAAUAGGACGAUCGAUCCUAUUUUGUUGGUUUCUAGGAUUGACGUA